This is a long non-coding RNA of Manacus vitellinus (golden-collared manakin), 441 nucleotides long. RefSeq lists it as uncharacterized. Lineage: Eukaryota; Metazoa; Chordata; Aves; Passeriformes; Pipridae. The record is from RefSeq and is a predicted model, not a curated record. The transcript has 3 exons.
UCCCUGCUUGGGCCACCGCAGGCUCUGAGGGGACAGAGCUGAGGGGGAGACGCUGAGGAGGGUGUAGGAACCAACAAGCAAUAAUAUAUAGAAGUGCUGGAAGUAGGGGUUGAAGGAAGUGAGGAAUUGAAUUGAGAAAGUGAGGGAAUUUUGUCGGUGGUGUUGAGGAAAGGAGUGUGGGCCUGAACACGUGAGUAUCUGAAGAAAUGGUGUGGAGAAAACAUGAGGGAGGUCUGGCUCAGCAGCAACUGAGUGCUGGGCUGUUGGACCCUCCUGUGACAGUGGGACAAAGGACAUUGUCGGAGAUGGAGUGUGAUGGGAAGGACUUGAACACCUGCUGAAGCCUUGGAGGUUCCCGACUGCACUAUGACUAAGCAGCCUGGGUGCAGAAAGAGUUCAGCAUUCAUACAGAACUAUACUGGGGAUUAAAUCUUGAGCAGC